RNAcentral lists this ribosomal RNA (777 nucleotides) under uncultured Neocallimastigales. RNAcentral describes it as "partial large subunit ribosomal RNA". It matches the Rfam family "Eukaryotic large subunit ribosomal RNA", at positions 20 to 644 of the family's 3401-position model. The record is from RNAcentral. Lineage: Eukaryota; Fungi; Neocallimastigomycota; Neocallimastigomycetes; Neocallimastigales.
UCAUCACUACGCUAGAUGCAUAUCAAUAAGCGGAGGAAAAGAAACUAACUAGGAUUCCCUCUAGUAACGGCGAGUGAAGCGGGAAGAGCUCAAAUUUGAAAUCUUCAAGGUUCUACCUUGACGAAUUGUAGUUUAAAGAAGUGUUUUCUGUUGGAGUUUUGGUAAAAGUUCUUUGGAAUAGGACAUCAUAGAGGGUGAGAAUCCCGUAUUUGACCAUUAUUUCCAACUUUGUGAUACACUUUCAAAGAGUCGGAUUGUUUGGGAAUGCAGUCCAAAAUGGGUGGUAAAUUUCAUCUAAAGCUAAAUACUGGCGAGAGACCGAUAGCGAACAAGUACCGUGAGGGAAAGAUGAAAAGAACUUUGAAAAGAGAGUUAAACAGUACGUGAAAUUGUCAAAAGGGAAGCGUUUGACACCAGUGUUGUUUUCUCGAAAAUCAAUUAAAAAUGGUGGGAUGUUGUGUUGUAUUGACUUUAUCAGCUUUCUGCACUUUUUUUCCUAUCUUUUUUAAUGCACUUUUCGUUUAACAAGUCAACAUCAAUUUCUUUUGUUGUAAAAGAGUCAUUGGAAGGUGGCUUUCUUUUCGGAGAAAGUGUUUAUAGCCUUCGGCUUCUGCAAUCGGAGAGAUUGAGGUCUGCAGCGUAGAUCCUUCGGGGUUAGAUACAUUUGUGCUAAGUUAUAGCCUUUCAUAGACAACUUGUUGACUAUGAUCAGUCAUGUAGCUUACUCGCUUAUGCUAUUUUACCUACGCUUAGGAUGUUGAAGAUAUGCGCGACACG